AGGGUGUAAACGCUGCAGACUUGGUGUUGGAAGCCCUUUGGGGGCAUUCAGUGCCGGAGAGAAGUUGUUAAGUCUGCUACUUGGGGAGUACGUCCGCAAGGAUGAAACUUAAAGGAAUUGGCGGGGGAGCACCGCAACGGGAGGAGCGUGCGGUUUAAUUGGAUUCAACACCGGAAAACUCACCAGGGGAGACUGUUACAUGAAACCCAGACUAAUGAUCUUGGUUGAUUUUCAGAGAGGAGGUGCAUGGCGUCAGUGACU
Molecule: ribosomal RNA, 261 nt
Filed under: uncultured archaeon
Lineage: Archaea
Description: partial 16S ribosomal RNA
Rfam family: Archaeal small subunit ribosomal RNA
Source: RNAcentral